RNAcentral lists this long non-coding RNA (418 nucleotides) under Solanum tuberosum (potato). RNAcentral's name for it is "long non-coding RNA (STUB_LNC011916)". Lineage: Eukaryota; Viridiplantae; Streptophyta; Magnoliopsida; Solanales; Solanaceae. The record is from RNAcentral.
UUUUCUUUCACUAAGGCUUUAACAAUAUUCUUCAACAAUGUCUCAUGCUUCUUCUUCCAAAAUUUGCAAGUAUGAUAUUUUUUUGAGUUUUAGAGGUGAAGAUACGCGUAGAACCUUUGUGAGUCAUCUCUAUAAGGCUCUGGAACAAAGAGGAAUCCACACUUUUAAAGACGAUGAGUGGUUGGAAGCAGGAAAAUCAAUUUCUGCUGAACUUUUAAAAGCCAUAGAAGAUGCCAGAUUCGCUGUCGUGAUAUUUUCAAAAAGCUAUGCAUCCUCAAGAUGGUGCUUAGAGGAGCUUGCACAUAUCAUAAAGUGUAAAAAGGAAUUGGAGCAGAUUGUGAUUCCAGUCUUCUAUGAUGUGAGCCCAUCAGAUGUACGCCAUCAAAAUCCCCCAUUCGCUGAUUCAUUUUCCCAACAC